Long non-coding RNA from Dreissena polymorpha, 2411 nucleotides. RefSeq lists it as uncharacterized. Lineage: Eukaryota; Metazoa; Mollusca; Bivalvia; Myida; Dreissenidae. The transcript is spliced from 3 exons. The record is from RefSeq and is a predicted model, not a curated record.
CCGGCUACAGCACGGACAGUAACUACGGCAUCGUUGACAUACCUCGCAAUCCGUACCCUAAAUCCCAGCGCAGGCGGCAGAUCGAAAAAAAUGGUAAACUGAGGCGCAAGGGAGACAACUCUGAGAGUACUCAAAGCAAAGAUGAGAGCUGUAACAAUAGUCUCCCCUCCAGUAUUAGCCAGCAGCCUUUAAAGAAUGCUGGUGGUGCCACUGAAGCCCUGUUUACCCGUCCCCCUUGCCCCCCUCAGACAAGCCCCGCCCCCUCAUCCUAUAAGACCCUACCACCCUCCUUGUAUCGACACAAGACACCCCUAGAUCCCCCCACCACCAACAACAACCCUCCGACGGGAAGCAGGCCAGUCUUUCAGUUCUCUGAUGAUAUUCCGGUGGUAUGACAAUGACAGGGAAAUUUGCUGAAAAUACUCCAUGCGUUUCAACUUUUGAGAUUAAACUGCGCACCGGUGCAGCCUUUUGACCUCUGUAAGAUAAUGGAACAUCAGUUGUGUGUAACCUUAAUGAAUGUUGAGUGUCACCUACUUGAAGCUCAAGAGCUUACAUGAAUGUGGAGUGUAGCCUAUUUGAAUAUGGAGUGCAGCCUACAUCCAUUGGGCCCUGUGUCCAUCGUCUGCUACCACUGAGGCUAUGUUGUACGAAAGCCAUGUUACUGGAUUAUAGUGCUUUGUAGCCUAAACAUCAUUGUAAUGUUCAACAUCCCAGAUGUUUUGUUUUAACCCUUUCAGUGCUGGAACCAAAUUUUGAAGGCCUUUGCAAACAGUUUGGAUCCAAAUGAGAUGCCACAGAACGUGGCGUCUCAUCAGGAUCCAAACAGUUUGCUAUUCUGAUAGUGUUCUUUGAAACAAAAUUGAAGAAAAUGCUAAUUUUAGAAAUUUAGCAGACGACAUUUAAGCAGACGACAAAUUUUCCAGCAUGCAAAGGGUUAAUAUUCAGUGCUUUAACACGGAACACUUACUGUUAUUUGAUCCCAACAAGUCUGUUUACAGUUAUUUCUGUAUAAACUUUCCUAUUUUCAGAUGUUUUAAAGAAAUCUGCAUGGCAGUUGUUCUAUAUGUUUGCGUUAGAAGAAAAACCAAAGAACCAUUGUUCAUGCUAUUAUUUUAAGCUUUUUCAUGAUAUAUUGGUAACAUUUUUAAGAGCCAACAUUUAACUUGUUCAAAAUGUAUAACCAACAGAUGGACAAAGUUAUCGAGGAAAGAUUUUUAUUAAUGUAUCAGAAAAUACUUAAUCAACUGUUUGCCAGAAAGUAAAUAUUUCAUAUAUUUUACAUCAUCUCGAAGUAUUAUGUUUUAAAUGGGUGUAUACUUUCUGUAUUCCGAAAAGAAAUCCGAACAGCAAAUCUUACUGUCAGAUUGAAAGUUUUCCUCAAAUCCUAGAGAGCGAAAAAUGCUUGAAACUGAAUGUCCUUCAAAUAAUCGUUGCUCUGCGAAAAUGGAGCUUAAUGCAUGUGAUCAAAUAAUAGCCUGUCUAUGCAUUUAGCCCCAUUUCCACAUAUCGCAGCUGAAAUAUAUUUAAUCAAAUCUUUUCUUUUGCCUUACCUUUCAUACUUCUUUUAACUUUAAGCUAUUUUUUUAAACAUUACUUUUCAUAAUUUUUUGGUCAACAUAUCUUUGCCAUUAAAAUACAAAUAGUUAAGUGAGAGAACAAUUGUAUAUUUUAACGUAAACAUCCUUAAAACAGAGCUAAUGUUCUCCAUCAUGAUAUAUUUAUACAUGUAGCUUAAGAUUUCAUUUUAUACUGAUCAGUGUGAUCAUAUAUAUAUGUUUAUCAUUCUUGAUACCAAAGUUGUGCAUAAAAACAUUUUUUAUAAAUAUAUAAAAUAUAUUAAAAUGUUGAAUAAAAUGUUGUAAAUUAAGUUCAGAUUUACAAUCUGACAUUUGAUGAUGGGUCUAUAAAACCAAAACAAAACUUUAGUAUUAUUAGGUCUCUAUGAAAUCCAGUAACUGUUCCAGCUUUAUGUAAACUUGUUUAUACGGUCUUGAACAGUUAUAUAAAGUUAAAUAUCUGGUUACUUUGAUUUUCACACACACCUUUCAUAGAUAUAAAAGUUAAACUUUUCCGUAAUUAGAAUUUGUUUUAUGCAAAUAUUGUUUUCCCUGUAUAGCCGUAAACUGCAGUACAGGUUAAUAGGCUUUCAUCAACAUUCACUUUGAUAUAAGGGACUGUACACUUCUAAAGGAAAAAAGUCUGCCGGCACAUAAUUUGGCAUCGUCAUAUUUCAUUCAUUCGCAAUGGAUAUUUUACAUGAUUUUUAAAAUUGUAAUUUGUGAGCAUAAUUUAUAUCAAACAUCAUAUACAUUUAUACACAUUUCAAAGAAACUAAAUAUUUGUGUGUGCUUUUUUUAUGGGAUGACUAAAUACUGCAAGGUUUCAGAUACUGAAUUAUUCAUAUACAU